Molecule: ribosomal RNA, 424 nt
Filed under: Drosophila imparisetae
Lineage: Eukaryota; Metazoa; Arthropoda; Insecta; Diptera; Drosophilidae
Description: partial 12S ribosomal RNA
Source: RNAcentral
UUAUUAAUAUUUAAGUAGUAAUAGUUAUGUUCUUGAAACUUAAAAAAUUUGGCGGUAUUUUAGUCUAUCCAGAGGAACCUGUUUUGUAAUCGAUAAUCCACGAUGGACCUUACUUAAAUUUGUAAUCAGUUUAUAUACCGUCGUUAUCAGAAUAUUUUAUAAGAAUAAUAAUAUUCAAUAAUUUUUAUUAAAAUUUAUAUCAGAUCAAGGUGUAGCUUAUAUUUAAGCAAUAAUGGGUUACAAUAAAUAUAUUUAUACGGAUAAAAUUAUGAAAAAAUUUUUGAAGGUGGAUUUGGUAGUAAAAUUAUAUAGAUUAAUAAUUUGAUUUUAGCUCUAAAAUAUGUACACAUCGCCCGUCGCUCUUAUUAUUAAGGUAAGAUAAGUCGUAACAUAGUAGAUGUACUGGAAAGUGUAUCUAGAAUGA